Molecule: long non-coding RNA, 767 nt
Organism: Peromyscus maniculatus bairdii (prairie deer mouse)
Lineage: Eukaryota; Metazoa; Chordata; Mammalia; Rodentia; Cricetidae
Source: RefSeq, a predicted model, not a curated record
GGGCAGGGGCAGGGGCAGGGGCAGUCAGGGAGUGUCAAGAAGACACAAUUACAACCCAUGUAAAGAAGUUCAUCGUCUCUGAGGUUCUAGAACCAGGCACCACUGUGUUGUAUGAAAGAGCGGUGUUCUGAGCUGAGCAGAGGUUGGCUUUCAGGUGGAAAAGGGCGGGAGCGCACAGAACAUACAGACUGUCCAUGUCAAAUCUACUUUCCUGUACUGUGUGGUAGGGGAAGAAAACUGGGAGUGGUGAUGGAGUCCUGGGCAAGAACCUGGGAGACUGAGAAGAGCAGGAAAAGGACGACACGGGUCAGAACGCUUGGACCAGGAACAAAGGCUCGCAGCGCCGUUUUUCUGCAGUUCUGGGUUUUAGACUUGAACAGUGUUGUGCACUUGGCAUUUUUUUGUGAGUUUCUUUCUCCUGUCAUCGCCCAGCUAGCUUAUAGAGUCCGUAAAUCUGUGACAGGAGAGACUUUUUUUUUUUUUUAAACCAGAAAAGCUGUGAAACUUAAUUCUGAGAAGGAAACCAGUUUUCUUGGAUCUCGUGCUGAACUGAUUGGGCCUCAAAUCCAAUGACGCCUGAAUUUAAAGGCUGUUCUGUAGGCCCUGUAAAAUCCUCUGCAUGGAGAGACUGGACAGACCACAGGAAUACCAAACUGCUGAACCCUCACACACCAUAAUGGAAGUGCUGCUGGAUAACCAGCAAGAAGUGCCAACUACUUAAUGUUUCCUGGACUUACUUCUUUUAUAAAGAGCCAAAGGAAACCACA